GAUGAACGCUGGCGGCGUGCCUAAUACAUGCAAGUCGAGCGAACAGACGAGGAGCUUGCUCCUCUGAUGUUAGCGGCGGACGGGUGAGUAACACGUGGAUAACCUACCUAUAAGACUGGGAUAACUUCGGGAAACCGGAGCUAAUACCGGAUAACAUGUUGAACCGCACGGUUCAACAGUGAAAGACGGUCUUGCUGUCACUUAUAGAUGGAUCCGCGCCGCAUUAGCUAGUUGGUAAGGUAACGGCUUACCAAGGCAACGAUGCGUAGCCGACCUGAGAGGGUGAUCGGCCACACUGGAACUGAGACACGGUCCAGACUCCUACGGGAGGCAGCAGUAGGGAAUCUUCCGCAAUGGGCGAAAGCCUGACGGAGCAACGCCGCGUGAGUGAAGAAGGUCUUCGGAUCGUAAAACUCUGUUAUUAGGGAAGAACAAAUGUGUAAGUAACUAUGCACGUCUUGACGGUACCUAAUCAGAAAGCCACGGCUAACUACGUG
RNAcentral lists this ribosomal RNA (497 nucleotides) under uncultured bacterium. Its description in RNAcentral is "partial 16S ribosomal RNA". It matches the Rfam family "Bacterial small subunit ribosomal RNA", at positions 28 to 507 of the family's 1533-position model. The record is from RNAcentral.